CCUUCAAAUAAACGGUUUUUUUUUUGUUGGUUUGAUUUCGUUUUCGUCGUUGUUCUCGAUUCCGGUUCUACUGUGAGAGGAGUCAGGAUCGCUGCUGGAGCCAGUGCUGCAGCAAACCAUCUAGCACGGAAUUAGAGCACAACACAACCAUCCACCCACACACACACACACACACACACACAUGCAAUCAAUCACACAAACAGGAAAUUUAGGAAUGCCGUUGCGGUGGUCGCACUUUGCUUAGAAGUUGCACACCGUUUCAAAUCUGUCACCGGUGCCAACUGUAAAGCGGUAAUCAUACACGAAUAAAUCCCAAACAGCCUGCUCGAGCUCUAUAAACUGAUUUCAUCGUUCCAAUAUCGUACUUUGUAGCUGAUUAAGAGAUGGCGUAGCGUAUUACAACUCAUCAUUAUAUUGCUGUCGUGCAAAAAUCUAUAUGAAUGGUCUUGUGGUCAAUUACGUGAGUUGAUCAACACCAGCAAAAAUUACUCAAAUCUCACUUGCUUCAGUACAAAUAGUUAUCAUUGAAGUUUUAGGGGCGCCACAAAAGUGGUCCCUAAUUUUUUAAAGAGACACGCAACACGCUUUGCGAACUACGUUUUUGGUAGAAUUCGAUUUAUUUUUUCCUUUUAAGCCGCGGAACGGUGAGUUCGGGAGAGACGCGAAAAUUAGUGUUGUUCGUUCGAGAGCUGCCGGAGAAGAAGUGUUGGGUAAGCCGGACGGAUAUGCGCGUGUCGAUGUGGAAACGUUUAGGACGAGAGAGAGCGUGUAUGGAGCAAGCCACCGUUUUUAUAGCAGCGGUGCAGCAUGCUAUCACUGUUUGUCCUGCUCUAGCUUUAUGCGCAGUCCCUGCCUAACUAGCCCGUUAAACAUUUUAUGUCGGUAGUUCUAGAUGUGCGCACCAGAUGGCGCUCUGGUCGCUACAAAGUUUAAGUAUUUAAACAAUCGUGUCGCCGUUCUAGUUCUAGCGAUGCAUAACCUCAAUGCAAAACCA
Long non-coding RNA from Anopheles arabiensis, 994 nucleotides. RefSeq lists it as uncharacterized. Lineage: Eukaryota; Metazoa; Arthropoda; Insecta; Diptera; Culicidae. The transcript is spliced from 3 exons. The record is from RefSeq and is a predicted model, not a curated record.